Molecule: ribosomal RNA, 360 nt
Filed under: uncultured cyanobacterium
Lineage: Bacteria; Bacillati; Cyanobacteriota
Description: bacterial SSU rRNA
Rfam family: Bacterial small subunit ribosomal RNA
Source: RNAcentral
CGAAAGCCUGACGGAGCAAUACCGCGUGAGGGAGGAAGGCUCUUGGGUUGUAAACCUCUUUUCUGAAGGAAGAACAAAAUGACGGUACUUCAGGAAUCAGCAUCGGCUAACUCCGUGCCAGCAGCCGCGGUAAUACGGAGGAUGCAAGCGUUAUCCGGAAUGAUUGGGCGUAAAGCGUCCGCAGGUGGCAAUUCAAGUCUGCGGUUAAAGGUCGAGGCUCAACCUCGAAAAGGCCGUGGAAACUGAAUAGCUAGAGUGUGGUAGGGGCAGAGGGAAUUCCCAGUGUAGCGGUGAAAUGCGUAGAGAUUGGGAAGAACACCGGUGGCGAAAGCGCUCUGCUAGGCCAAAACUGACACUGAG